UACGGGGGGGGCAAGCGUUGUUCGGAAUUACUGGGCGUAAAGGGCUCGUAGGCGGCCAACUAAGUCAGACGUGAAAUCCCUCGGCUUAACCGGGGAACUGCAUCUGAUACUGGAUGGCUUGAGAUUGGGAGAGGGAUGCGGAAUUCCAGGUGUAGCGGUGAAAUGCGUAGAUAUCUGGAGGAACACCAAUGGCGAAGGCAGCUCGCUGGGACGUUACUGACGCUGAGACGCGAAAGCGUGGGGAGCAAACAGG
RNAcentral lists this ribosomal RNA (253 nucleotides) under uncultured bacterium. RNAcentral's name for it is "partial 16S ribosomal RNA". It matches the Rfam family "Bacterial small subunit ribosomal RNA", at positions 524 to 776 of the family's 1533-position model. The record is from RNAcentral.